GAUGAACGCUGGCGGCGUGCCUAACACAUGCAAGUCGAGCGAACAGACGGGGCGCUUGCUCUUCUGACGUUAGCGGCGGACGUGAGUGUAACACGGGGAUAUCCCACGUAUAAGACUGGGACAACUCCGGGGAACCGGAGCUACUACCGGCUAAUAUAUUGAACCACAUGGUUCAAUACUGAAAGACGGUUUUGCUGUUGCUUAUAGAUGGAUCCGCGCCGCAUUAGCUAGUUGGUCAGGUAACGGCUUACCAAGGCUACGAUGCGUAGCCGACCUGAGAGGGUGAUCGGCCACACUGGAACUGAGACACGGUCCAGACUCCUACGGGAGGCAGCAGUAGGGAAUCUUCCGCAAUGGGCGAAAGCCUGAUGGAGCAACGCCGCGUGAGUGAUGAAGGUCUUCGGAUCGUAAAGCUCUGUUAUAAGGGAAGAACUAAUGUGUAAGUAACUGUGCACGUCUUGACGGUACCUGAUCAGAAAGCCACGGCUAACUACGUG
Molecule: ribosomal RNA, 497 nt
Filed under: uncultured bacterium
Lineage: Bacteria
Description: partial 16S ribosomal RNA
Rfam family: Bacterial small subunit ribosomal RNA
Source: RNAcentral